GAUGAAGAACGUAGCGAAAUGCGAUAAGUAAUGUGAAUUGCAGAAUUCAGUGAAUCAUCGAAUCUUUGAACGCACAUUGCGCCCGCCAGUAUUCUGGCGGGCAUGCCUGUUCGAGCGUCAUUUCAACCAUCAAGCCCCCGGCUUGUGUUGGGGACCUGCGGCUGCCGCAGGCCCUGAAAACCAGUGGCGGGCUCGCUGUCACACCGAGCUUAGUAGAUUUUCAUCUCGCUCAGGGCGUGCUGCGGGUUCCGGCCGUAAAAAGCCUUAUUUACCCAAGGUUGACCUCGGAUCAGGUAGGAAGACCCGCUGAACUUAAGCAUAUCAAUAAGCGGAGGA
RNAcentral lists this unclassified non-coding RNA (336 nucleotides) under soil metagenome. RNAcentral describes it as "partial contains 5.8S ribosomal RNA, internal transcribed spacer 2, and large subunit ribosomal RNA". The stretch from base 1 to 120 matches the Rfam family "5.8S ribosomal RNA", at positions 35 to 154 of the family's 154-position model. The record is from RNAcentral.